GGCUGGGUAGUAUAAUUGGUUAAUGCAAUGGGUUGCAGUUCCAUAAAUGCCGGUUCAAGUCCGUCUCUAGCCU
This 73-nucleotide transfer RNA is filed under the name Dictyopteris divaricata. Its description in RNAcentral is "tRNA-Cys". It matches the Rfam family "tRNA". Rfam says of the family: Transfer RNA (tRNA) molecules are approximately 80 nucleotides in length. Their secondary structure includes four short double-helical elements and three loops (D, anti-codon, and T loops). Further hydrogen bonds mediate the characteristic L-shaped molecular structure. tRNAs have two regions of fundamental functional importance: the anti-codon, which is responsible for specific mRNA codon recognition, and the 3' end, to which the tRNAs corresponding amino acid is attached (by aminoacyl-tRNA synthetases). tRNAs cope with the degeneracy of the genetic code in two manners: having more than one tRNA (with a specific anti-codon) for a particular amino acid; and 'wobble' base-pairing, i.e. permitting non-standard base-pairing at the 3rd anti-codon position. The record is from RNAcentral. Lineage: Eukaryota; Phaeophyceae; Dictyotales; Dictyotaceae.